AGUCACUGACAUUAGAUACCCGGGUAGUCCAGGGUGUAAACGCUGCAGACUUGGUGUUGGGAACCCUUCGGGGGUGCUCAGUGCCGGAGAGAAGUUGUUAAGUCUGCUACUUGGGAGUACGUCCGCAAGGAUGAAACUUAAAGGAAUUGGCGGGGAGCACCGCAACGGGAGGAGCGUGCGGUUUAAUUGGAUUCAACGCCGGACAUCUCACCAGGGCGACAGCAGAAUGAUGGCCAGGUUGAUGACCUUGCUUGACAAGCUG
RNAcentral lists this ribosomal RNA (262 nucleotides) under uncultured archaeon. Its description in RNAcentral is "partial 16S ribosomal RNA". It matches the Rfam family "Archaeal small subunit ribosomal RNA", at positions 719 to 982 of the family's 1478-position model. The record is from RNAcentral.